GCUGGGGCCAGCUGGGACCAGUCAUGGGCAAAAGAAAUAUGUUUUGUCCACUGUUGCAGUCUUCCUAAAGCAAAGUGGAGGUUUCUGUCUGGUUUAAGAGAGACAGCUAAACCAGAUCGUUCCCCUCCACACACG
Small nucleolar RNA from Colius striatus (speckled mousebird), 135 nucleotides. It matches the Rfam family "Small Cajal body specific RNA 3". Rfam says of the family: scaRNAs are a specific class of small nuclear RNAs which localise to the Cajal bodies and guide the modification of RNA polymerase II transcribed spliceosomal RNAs U1, U2, U4, U5 and U12. The record is from Rfam. NCBI's taxonomy places the organism in Eukaryota, Metazoa, Chordata, Aves, Coliiformes, Coliidae.